This 1034-nucleotide long non-coding RNA is filed under the name Ornithorhynchus anatinus (platypus). RNAcentral describes it as "lncRNA (ENSOANG00000035208.2)". The record is from RNAcentral. Lineage: Eukaryota; Metazoa; Chordata; Mammalia; Monotremata; Ornithorhynchidae.
UCUGCCAAACAUAGUUAAGUUUCCCCUCCCCACCAUCCCAGGUCCGGGAGGAGGAGGAGGAGGAGGAGGAGGAGGAGAUCACUGGCAUCCCCCGAAGCUCCAGCCCCGACCCCGUCCGGUCCCGGGGAAAGGAGCGUCCCGCAGUCCGGGGUCCGGCCCCCCGCGCCUCCCCGCCCCCUUACCGCGCUCGUAGGCCGGGCCGGGCGUCUGGGGGUCGCCUUCGGCCCGCAGGUGCUGGGGCUUGGCUUGCUUCCUGCGCGACAUGCUGGUCCUCCUAGCCGCCGAUGAUGUCCGGAGUGUCAGAGUUGCUUGAAGCAAUAAAGCGGCUGGACAACAGAGGAAGGAAAGCUGCUGACGGGACCUUGCCAAAAGCGCACCUGCGGCCGUGGAUGCUGAAAUGAAAACUGAAAUGUCUUGCCAAGAUGAAAACGGAGCCAGUUCUACGGUGGGAGUGGGAUGGAGGACCGAACGUCUUCACUGGGAACAAUCCUGGCUCCCCCUCCACGUCAUCCUGGGGCCACGCUUCCGGCCUGCCUGGCGCCAGCGCUGCGCUUAGGACGGAUCCCCAGGAAACCAAAGUGAAAGCAGGAAUCCGAACCGGCCAGUGGCGGGGUGUGGAUUCGAAGCGUUUUUGGCCAAGCUCCGAAGCCGUGUGGGAGUGUCAUUUUGCCUCCAUCUGAUGGUCUCCUGGAACAGAACUCUCACGCUGACCUCCGUGGACGUCCUCUGUUUCUACCCCGCCGCCCCAAGCGUUCAGAACGCGUGUUUACUUCAUUUGUCCUGACGGGCGCUGUAAUUACAGGCAGUUUGUUUCCUCUGCUGUAAUAUACGGUCUCGAGCAGGAAUAAAGUAACGUGGAAAAUUAACAUUGUGAUGUACUGUACGGUGGAAUAACACUAAAAACACUUAGCAGCGGGCGCACUGGAGGUGUUGUUUGUGUUGUGUGCAAGAGCUAUAAAGAUUUAAGUGGCUCUUUCUCAACUAUAUUUGCAUGAUUUUCGACUGCAGUAAAAUGAAUCUGAUCCGUCUCGGAG